GGAUGUGAGGGCAAUCUGGCUGCGACAUCUGUCACCCCAUUGAUCGCCAGGGUUGAUUCGGCUGAUCUGGCUGGCUAGGCAGGUGUCCCCUUCCUCCCUCACUGCUCCAUGUGCGUCCCUCCCGAAGCUGCGCGCUCGGACGAAGAGGAUGACCAUCCCCGCUAGAGGAGGACCGGUCUUCGGUCAAGGGUAUACGAGUAGCUGCGCUCCCCUGCUAGAACCUCCAAACAAGCUCCCAAGUAACUAUUAUUGCGAGAUAAUGUAUUGAAUAUCUAUCAUUCUUGAGGUGCCUGUUAUAUACGGACUUUUUAAUUCCUUAUGGCAUCUUAU
This is an unclassified non-coding RNA of Rhinopithecus bieti (black snub-nosed monkey), 330 nucleotides long. Its record names the gene 7SK. It matches the Rfam family "7SK RNA". From Rfam's summary of the family: 7SK was discovered as an abundant small nuclear RNA in the mid-70s but a possible function has only recently been suggested. Two independent studies have found that 7SK RNA binds the CDK9/cyclin T complex (known as elongation factor P-TEFb). The record is from Ensembl. Lineage: Eukaryota; Metazoa; Chordata; Mammalia; Primates; Cercopithecidae.